GUUCAUUCGAGCCCGAAGUAAAUGACGCUUUUGCCCUUAAUUUUUUCUUAAGUUACAUCCCUGCCAUUCAGUCUGUUAUAAAUACCCGCCGACAAUUUUGCCCUUCCUUUCUAAUCAAAUUACACCCAUUUGCCCUGCCCUGCUGAUCUGCUGAGAGAUAGAAAGAAGAUUGCGAGAGAGAAAUAUAACAGAGUUCUUCUGGGUCUUCUGCGAGAGAGAGAGAGAGAGAAUGAAGGCUGAUCCGAGAGAGAUGAAGAACAUAAGACGGGAAGAGGAAGAACUAUUCGAUACACCAAGUUGUGGAGAAUAGGCCUGAUGCAAAGUCCUAUGUAGGUAUGGAGUGAGUAUCCUACAUUGAAAUUUUUUUCCAAAGGGCAACAAGGAUGGUGAAGUGUAUGGUGGAGGCUGAGAUUUGGAAUAUUUUGUAAAUUUCAUCAGUGAGAAAUGUAGGACUAGCACAGAUGCGAAAGGGCAACUUAUUUCCAUAGUUAGUACCAUUUUAAACCAAUAAAUGUACCUCAUUAGUUUCCUUAUCGAUUAUCUUCUUUUAUGUAGGCUGAAAUAGUCUCAAGUUUGGAGUUUGUUAUGUAAAACCAUAACAUAUUCGGUUAAUAUUUCUUAGCUUAUGAUUACUACUA
Rosa rugosa (rugosa rose) is the source of this 638-nucleotide long non-coding RNA. RefSeq lists it as uncharacterized. The transcript has 2 exons. NCBI's taxonomy places the organism in Eukaryota, Viridiplantae, Streptophyta, Magnoliopsida, Rosales, Rosaceae. The record is from RefSeq and is a predicted model, not a curated record.